AUGGAUCAACUAUACAACUUACUGUACAUAGUGAGAUACAUACCACUGAUUCUCACUCUAGUUACAGGCAGUUUCACAGAUAAAAUUUGGUCGAAAGAUGAAGAUGCCAAUAUUGUUAUGAAGGAAACAGACAGUGUUACUCUGAGAUGUUCAUAUCAAUCAAGCAGUAAUAGCAUUCGGCUUUACUGGUACAAACAAUAUCCUAACAGCGCACCACAGUUUUUACUGCUUAAAGGAGCGAGGUCAAGAGAUUAUGAAGAGUACAACCCCUCUGGCUCUCGAUUCAAUGCAGAAACUUCCCGAGACUCUACUGAACUUACUAUCAAACAUCUGCAGAUCUCAGAUUCUGCACUCUAUCACUGUGCUCUUAGACACAGGGAGCACAUCAAUUCAAAUGACUGA
Molecule: non-coding RNA, 402 nt
Organism: Hemibagrus wyckioides
Lineage: Eukaryota; Metazoa; Chordata; Actinopteri; Siluriformes; Bagridae
Source: the annotation of a RefSeq genome assembly